GACGAACGCUGGCGGCGUGCUUAACACAUGCAAGUCGAACGGAAAGGCCCUGCUUAUGUGGGGUGAUCGAGUGGCGAACGGGUGAGGAACACGUGAGUAACCUGCCCUUGACUUUGGGAUAACUUCAGGAAACUGGGGCUAAUACCGGAUAGGAGCUCCUGCUGCAUGGUGGGGGUUGGAAAGUUUCGGCGGUUGGGGAUGGACUCGCGGCUUAUCAGCUUGUUGGUGGGGUAGUGGCUUACCAAGGCUUUGACGGGUAGCCGGCCUGAGAGGGUGACCGGCCACAUUGGGCCUGAGAUACGGCCCAGACUCCUACGGGCGGCAGCAGUGGGGAAUAUUGCGCAAUGGGCGGAAGCCUGUUGCAGCAACGCCGCGUGCGGGAUGACGGCCUUCGUGUUGUAGACCGCUUUCGCCUGUGAGGAAGCGUGAGUGACGGUAAUGGCGCAAGAAGGACCGGCUAACUACGUG
This 468-nucleotide ribosomal RNA is filed under the name uncultured bacterium. Its description in RNAcentral is "partial 16S ribosomal RNA". It matches the Rfam family "Bacterial small subunit ribosomal RNA", at positions 28 to 507 of the family's 1533-position model. The record is from RNAcentral.